AUGCCCUCUUCUCCAAGAAAGGACCGAGGAGGCACCAGCGUGGACAACAAACAAAUAUCGCAAGGAGAGGGGAAGCAAAAGCAGAGCCGUCGUCGCCUCCGAACCCCACACCGUCGCAUCUCAGUUCCAAUCCCUCCCGCCGCCGCCGCGCCGCGCCUCCCUCGGCCCCGCGGAUCGCGGCUCCGGUUCCGAGUCCCCUCUCCACCCCGCCCUCCGCGGGUUCGGUCUGGUCCGCCCUCGCGCGCGCGCCCCCUUGCGUGGGCGGGCUCUCCUGGGGUUUUGGCGGUGGGUGGCAUGCUCUCCGGCGACCUGGUGCGGUGA
RNAcentral lists this ribosomal RNA (321 nucleotides) under Triticum aestivum (bread wheat). RNAcentral's name for it is "partial small subunit ribosomal RNA". The record is from RNAcentral. Lineage: Eukaryota; Viridiplantae; Streptophyta; Magnoliopsida; Poales; Poaceae.